GACGAACGCUGGCGGCGUGCUUAACACAUGCAAGUCGAACGGAAAGGCCCUGCGUUUGUGGGGUGCUCGAUUGGCGAACGGGGGAGUAACACGUGAGUAACCUGCCCUUAACUUUGGGAUAACUUCAGGGAACUGGGGAUAAUACCGCAUAGGAUCUCCUGCAGCAUGGGGGGGGUUGGAAAGUUUCGGCGGUUGGGUAUGGACUCGCGGCUUAUCAGCUUGUUGGUGUGGUAGUGCAUUACCAAGGCUUUGACGGGUAGCCCGCCUGAGAGGGUGAGCGGCCACCCUGGGACUGAGAUAAGGCAGAGACUGCUACGCGAGGGAGCAGUGGGGAAGAUUGCAGGAUGGGCGGAAGGCUGAUGCAGCAACGCCGCGUGCGGGAUAACGGUCUUAGGGUUGUAGAACGCUUUCGCAUGUGACGAAGCGUGAGUGAAGGUAAUGGGUACAGAAGCACCGGCUAACUACGUG
RNAcentral lists this ribosomal RNA (468 nucleotides) under uncultured bacterium. RNAcentral's name for it is "partial 16S ribosomal RNA". It matches the Rfam family "Bacterial small subunit ribosomal RNA", at positions 28 to 507 of the family's 1533-position model. The record is from RNAcentral.